CAUUCCUACAGUCUAUGACGUCAGUAAACUAGUUCUUUAAAUUUCAGGUUGCACUGUGUCCAAACGCAAAGAGUCCAAAGUCAGAAACAAGAUCAAGGAAUCUCCACAGAAACACGACUUUAGCUCUUCUAAGCCUCAGGCACUGACACUGAGAGGACCAUGUUUCUGGUGAUUCUUGCAAUUUGCUUCUGUGCUGUUAAUGCAGCACCAAGUUUUGGUUCAGGUGGAGAUCGUACUUUUCCUCAUGAUAUUACAAGCCAAUCUGGACUGACACAGCUAUACAACACUCCAGUGGUACAAGCUGAAAGAGUAACGAGGCCUCUGGAUUAUCUUGGCUGGUUAGGAUUAACACAUUCAGGAGUAAAGUA
This is a non-coding RNA of Chiloscyllium plagiosum (whitespotted bambooshark), 368 nucleotides long. The record is from RefSeq and is a predicted model, not a curated record. NCBI's taxonomy places the organism in Eukaryota, Metazoa, Chordata, Chondrichthyes, Orectolobiformes, Hemiscylliidae.